GAUGAACGCUGGCGGCGUGCCUAAUACAUGCAAGUCGAGCGAACAGAUAAGGAGCUUGCUCCUUUGACGUUAGCGGCGGACGGGUGAGUAACACGUGGGUAACCUACCUAUAAGACUGGGAUAACUUCGGGAAACCGGAGCUAAUACCGGAUAAUAUUUCGAACCGCAUGGUUCGAUAGUGAAAGAUGGUUUUGCUAUCACUUAUAGAUGGACCCGCGCCGUAUCAGCUAGUUGGUAAGGUAACGGCUUACCAAGGCGACGAUACGUAGCCGACCUGAGAGGGUGAUCGGCCACACUGGAACUGAGACACGGUCCAGACUCCUACGGGAGGCAGCAGUAGGGAAUCUUCCGCAAUGGGCGAAAGCCUGACGGAGCAACGCCGCGUGAGUGAUGAAGGUCUUCGGAUCGUAAAACUCUGUUAUUAGGGAAGAACAUACGUGUAAGUAACUGUGCACGUCUUGACGGUACCUAAUCAGAAAGCCACGGCUAACUACGUG
Molecule: ribosomal RNA, 497 nt
Filed under: uncultured bacterium
Lineage: Bacteria
Description: partial 16S ribosomal RNA
Rfam family: Bacterial small subunit ribosomal RNA
Source: RNAcentral